GUACGAACGCUGGCGGCGUGCUUAACACAUGCAAGUCGAGCGGUAAGGCCCUUUCGGGGGUACACGAGCGGCGAACGGGUGAGUAACACGUGGGUGACCUGCCCUCAGCUCUGGGAUAAGCCUGGGAAACCGGGUCUAAUACUGGAUAUGACUCCAUGACGCAUGUUGUGGGGUGGAAAGCCUUGUGCGGCUGAGGAUGGGCCCGCGGCCUAUCCAGCUUGUUGGUGGGGUGUANGGCCUACCAAGGCGACGACGGGUAGCCGGCCUGAGAGGGCGUACCGGCCACACUGGGACUGGAGACACGGCCCAGACUCCGUACGGGAGGC
This 326-nucleotide ribosomal RNA is filed under the name uncultured bacterium. Its description in RNAcentral is "bacterial SSU rRNA". It matches the Rfam family "Bacterial small subunit ribosomal RNA", at positions 27 to 349 of the family's 1533-position model. The record is from RNAcentral.